GAUGAACGCUGGCGGCGUGCCUAAUACAUGCAAGUCGAGCGAACAGACGAGGAGCUUGCUCCUCUGACGUUAGCGGCGGACGGGUGAGUAACACGUGGAUAACCUACCUAUAAGACUGGGAUAACUUCGGGAAACCGGAGCUAAUACCGGAUAAUAUAUUGAACCGCAUGGUUCAAUAGUGAAAGACGGUUUUGCUGUCACUUAUAGAUGGAUCCGCGCCGCAUUAGCUAGUUGGUAAGGUAACGGCUUACCAAGGCAACGAGGCGUAGCCGACCUGAGAGGGUGAUCGGCCACACGGGAACUGAGACACGGCCCAGACUCCUACGGGAGGCAGCAGUAGGGAAUCUUCCGCAAUGGGGGAAAGCCUGACGGAGCACCGCCGCGUGAGUGAUGAAGGUCUUCGGAUCGUAAAACUCUGUUAUUAGGGAAGAACAAAUGUGUAAGUAACUAUGCACGUCUUGACGGUACCUAAUCAGAAAGCCACGGCUAACUACGUG
This 497-nucleotide ribosomal RNA is filed under the name uncultured bacterium. RNAcentral describes it as "partial 16S ribosomal RNA". It matches the Rfam family "Bacterial small subunit ribosomal RNA", at positions 28 to 507 of the family's 1533-position model. The record is from RNAcentral.